This 450-nucleotide ribosomal RNA is filed under the name uncultured bacterium. RNAcentral's name for it is "partial 16S ribosomal RNA". It matches the Rfam family "Bacterial small subunit ribosomal RNA", at positions 354 to 796 of the family's 1533-position model. The record is from RNAcentral.
GUGGGGAAUAUUGGACAAUGGGCGCAAGCCUGAUCCAGCCAUACCGCGUGGGUGAAGAAGGCCUUCGGGUUGUAAAGCCCUUUUGUUGGGAAAGAAAUCCUGUCGGUUAAUACCUGGCGGGGAUGACGGUACCCAAAGAAUAAGCACCGGCUAACUUCGUGCCAGCAGCCGCGGUAAUACGAAGGGUGCAAGCGUUACUCGGAAUUACUGGGCGUAAAGCGUGCGUAGGUGGUGGUUUAAGUCCGUUGUGAAAGCCCUGGGCUCAACCUGGGAAUUGCAGUGGAUACUGGAUCACUAGAGUGUGGUAGAGGGAUGCGGAAUUUCUGGUGUAGCAGUGAAAUGCGUAGAGAUCAGAAGGAACAUCCGUGGCGAAGUCGGCAUCCUGGGCCAACACUGACACUGAGGCACGAAAGCGUGGGGAGCAAACAGGAUUAGAAACCCCUGUAGUCC